Molecule: ribosomal RNA, 377 nt
Filed under: uncultured bacterium
Lineage: Bacteria
Description: bacterial SSU rRNA
Rfam family: Bacterial small subunit ribosomal RNA
Source: RNAcentral
AUACGAAGGGUGCAAGCGUUACUCGGAAUUACUGGGCGUAAAGCGUGCGUAGGUGGUUCGUUAAGUCUGAUGUGAAAGCCCUGGGCUCAACCUGGGAAUUGCAUUGGAUACUGGCGGGCUGGAGUACGGUAGAGGGUAGUGGAAUUCCUGGUGUAGCAGUGAAAUGCGUAGAGAUCAGGAGGAACAUCCGUGGCGAAGGCGACUACCUGGACCAGUACUGACACUGAGGCACGAAAGCGUGGGGAGCAAACAGGAUUAGAUACCCUGGUAGUCCACGCCCUAAACGAUGCGAACUGGAUGUUGGGUUCAACUAGGAACUCAGUAUCGAAGCUAACGCGUUAAGUUCGCCGCCUGGGGAGUACGGUCGCAAGACUGAA